GAUGAAGAACGUAGUGAAAUGCGAUAAGUAAUGUGAAUUGCAGAAUUCAGUGAAUCAUCGAAUCUUUGAACGCACAUUGCGCCCGCCAGUAUUCUGGCGGGCAUGCCUGUUCGAGCGUCAUUUCAACCCUCAGGCCCCGCCUGGCGUUGGGGAUCGGCGCGGCCCUCUCCGGGCUGCCGGCCCCGAAAACUAGUGGCGGUCUCGCUGUAGUCCUCCUCUGCGCAGUAGCAACGCUCGCACUGGAACUCGGCGCGGCCACGCCGUAAAACACCCCACUUCUGAAAGUUGACCUCGGAUCAGGUAGGAAUACCCGCUGAACUUAAGCAUAUCAAUAAGCGGAGGA
Molecule: unclassified non-coding RNA, 343 nt
Filed under: soil metagenome
Description: partial contains 5.8S ribosomal RNA, internal transcribed spacer 2, and large subunit ribosomal RNA
Rfam family: 5.8S ribosomal RNA (bases 1-120)
Source: RNAcentral